Molecule: ribosomal RNA, 117 nt
Filed under: Esox lucius (northern pike)
Lineage: Eukaryota; Metazoa; Chordata; Actinopteri; Esociformes; Esocidae
Source: RNAcentral
CUUUACGGCCACACCUCCCUGAGCACGCCGAUCUCGUCUGAUCUCGGAAGCUAAGCAGGGUCGGGCCCGGUUAGUACUUGGAUGGGAGACCGCCUGGAAUACCAGGUGCUGUAAGCC